RNAcentral lists this ribosomal RNA (468 nucleotides) under uncultured bacterium. RNAcentral describes it as "partial 16S ribosomal RNA". It matches the Rfam family "Bacterial small subunit ribosomal RNA", at positions 28 to 507 of the family's 1533-position model. The record is from RNAcentral.
GACGAACGCUGGCGGCGUGCUUAACACAUGCAAGUCGAACGGAAAGGCCCUGCUUUUGUGGGGUGCUCGAGUGGCGAACGGGUGAGUAACACGUGAGUAACCUGCCCUUGACUUUGGGAUAACUUCAGGAAACUGGGGCUAAUACCGGAUAGGAGCUCCUGCUGCAUGGUGGGGGUUGGAAAGUUUCGGCGGUUGGGGAUGGACUCGCGGCUUAUCAGCUUGUUGGUGGGGUAGUGGCUUACCAAGGCGUUGACGGGUAGCCGGCCUGAGAGGGUGACCGGCCACAUUGGGACUGAGAUACGGCCCAGACUCCUACGGGAGGCAGCAGUGGGGAAUAUUGCACAAUGGGCGGAAGCCUGAUGCAGCAACGCCGCGUGCGGGAUGACGGCCUUCGGGUUGUAAACCGCUUUCGCCUGUGACGAAGCGUAAGUGACGGUAAUGGGUAAAGAAGCACCGGCUAACUACGUG